This 253-nucleotide ribosomal RNA is filed under the name uncultured bacterium. RNAcentral describes it as "partial 16S ribosomal RNA". It matches the Rfam family "Bacterial small subunit ribosomal RNA", at positions 524 to 776 of the family's 1533-position model. The record is from RNAcentral.
UACGGGGGGGGCAAGCGUUGUUCGGAAUUACUGGGCGUAAAGGGCUCGUAGGUGGCCAACUAAGUCGGACGUGAAAUCCCUCAGCUUAACUGGGGAACUGCGUCCGAUACUGGUUGGCUUGAAUCCGGGAGAGGGAUGUGGAAUUCCAGGUGUAGCGGUGAAAUGCGUAGAUAUCUGGAGGAACACCGGUGGCGAAGGCGACAUCCUGGACCGGCAUUGACGCUGAGGCGCGAAAGCCAGGGGAGCAAACGGG